UACAGAGGUCUCAAGCGUUGUUCGGAUUCAUUGGGCGUAAAGGGUGUGUAGGUGGCCAUGUUAGUCUCUCGUUAAAUUCUUCGGCUUAACCGGGGGCCUGCGGGGGAAACGGCAAGACUUGAGGAUGCGAGGGGUGAAUGGAACUCAUAGUGUAGGGGUGAAAUCCGUUGAUAUUAUGGGGAACACCAAAAGCGAAGGCAAUUCACUGGCGCACUCCUGACGCUGAAACACGGAAGCGUGGGUAGCGAAUGGG
RNAcentral lists this ribosomal RNA (253 nucleotides) under uncultured bacterium. Its description in RNAcentral is "partial 16S ribosomal RNA". It matches the Rfam family "Bacterial small subunit ribosomal RNA", at positions 524 to 776 of the family's 1533-position model. The record is from RNAcentral.